GAUGAAGAACGUAGCGAAAUGCGAUAAGUAAUGUGAAUUGCAGAAUUCAGUGAAUCAUCGAAUCUUUGAACGCACAUUGCGCCCGCUGGUAUUCCGGCGGGCAUGCCUGUUCGAGCGUCAUUUCAACCCUCAAACCCCCGGGUUUGGUGUUGGGGAUCGGCUCUGCCUCACGGCGGUGCCGCCCCCGAAAUACAUUGGCGGUCUCGCUGCAGCCUCCAUUGCGUAGUAGCUAACACCUCGCAACUGGAACGCGGCGCGGCCAUGCCGUAAAACCCCAACUUCUGAAUGUUGACCUCGGAUCAGGUAGGAAUACCCGCUGAACUUAAGCAUAUCAAUAAGCGGAGGA
Molecule: unclassified non-coding RNA, 346 nt
Filed under: soil metagenome
Description: partial contains 5.8S ribosomal RNA, internal transcribed spacer 2, and large subunit ribosomal RNA
Rfam family: 5.8S ribosomal RNA (bases 1-120)
Source: RNAcentral